UUGAUUACGUCCCUGCCCUUGUACACACCGCCCGUCGCUGCCCGGGACUGAGCCAUUUCGAGAAAUGUGGGGAUUGCUGGUUGGUUGUCUUCACGGAUGACCUUCUAGUGAGAACCAACUUAAUCGCAGUGGCUUGAACCGGGCAAAAGUCGUAACAAGGUAGCUGUAGGUGAACCUGCUGCUGGAUCAUUAACGAU
This 197-nucleotide ribosomal RNA is filed under the name Ditylenchus phyllobius. Its description in RNAcentral is "partial 18S ribosomal RNA". It matches the Rfam family "Eukaryotic small subunit ribosomal RNA", at positions 1641 to 1831 of the family's 1831-position model. The record is from RNAcentral. Lineage: Eukaryota; Metazoa; Nematoda; Chromadorea; Rhabditida; Anguinidae.